This is a long non-coding RNA of Ctenopharyngodon idella (grass carp), 522 nucleotides long. RefSeq lists it as uncharacterized. The record is from RefSeq and is a predicted model, not a curated record. Lineage: Eukaryota; Metazoa; Chordata; Actinopteri; Cypriniformes; Xenocyprididae. The transcript has 4 exons.
AGAUUCAGAGGCGUUGAUAGUGGUGCCAUGGAAACACAUUAUUCCCAGUCCAAGGACGUGAACAGCUCCGAAUAUAACGUCACGUGUGAUCAUCUCAAGAUUCCGGUAUGCAGUUACAGCAGGCAGUCAGGAGCCAAUAUUUCACUCCUCUGGAUCUUUAUUGGUAUUUUGGAUCACCUGAGCCACCUAAACUGGAGGAAGUCUUCAGACGGCCUAAACCUCGGUUUUUCAACCGUACAAGUUCAGCUUUCUGGGGUGAAGGAGGGAUGCUUGGAAACUUGUCACAGGAUGGAGAAAAAUCCUCCAGCUCCUGCAGAUUCUUCAGUUUUCCAGCAUCUUUUGCAUAUUUGAACCCUUUCCAGUAGGGAUGCACCGAUGUAUCGGCCGCUGAUAUUUAUCAGGUGAGGACACGUUCGAGCUGCAUGCGGUGCAGUUGGAGCUGGAGGCCGUGGAACGACAGAUCCGGACCCUUCUGGAGAAACAGGCCGAGCUACAGGAGCGGCGAACAGCGCUGGAAACAUC